RNAcentral lists this ribosomal RNA (254 nucleotides) under uncultured bacterium. Its description in RNAcentral is "partial 16S ribosomal RNA". It matches the Rfam family "Bacterial small subunit ribosomal RNA", at positions 524 to 776 of the family's 1533-position model. The record is from RNAcentral.
UACGUAGGGUGCAAGCGUUGUCCGGAAUUAUUGGGCGUAAAGAGCUCGUAGGCGGUCUGUCGCGUCUGCUGUGAAAACUCGGGGCUUAACCCCGGGCCUGCAGUGGGUACGGGCAGACUAGAGUGCGGUAGGGGAGACUGGAAUUCCUGGUGUAGCGGUGAAAUGCGCAGAUAUCAGGAGGAGCACCGGUGGCGAAGGCGGGUCUCUGGGCCGUAACUGACGCUGGAGGAGCGAAAGCGUGGGGAGCGAACAGG